UCCUGCUCUGCUUGAGCAUGAGCAUAUUGUCUCCCCCCCCCCCUCACGUUGUUGCACAUGAAUUUCUUUACCACCAUCACAUCCCAGAGCACCGAGGACACCCUGUAACUCAAACUUUACAUCGCUCUGCACUCUGCAAUGACAGCUUUAUCUUACAACUUUGGUUUGUCUUUUAAAAGUAUAUAAAAAGUACAUUAUUUAUGUUAUGUAUAAUAUGUAAUGCAAAUGUUUUGACCCAUGCAUUCAAGAUAUUUAGGGAAUAUUGAGAGGGGAAUACACAUGGAGUUCCCAUAAAGGUUAAAAGAUGCACAUAAAGAAAAAAAAUCACAUUAAAAGUCAGUAGGCACACCGCUAAUGUGUGUCCCUGGGACAUCUGGCAACAAAAUGUGUGAAUUCAACUGACUGAAGUGUUUUUAAUAGGCUUGAAAAUCAGGCUGUAAAUCAAACUCAAAGACCCGUGGUGAUAUAUCUGCAGAGAUGAUAGGUUUACACUUUGCUUGACAGAAGCCUAACUAUAUUUUCAUCCUCCGUCCCCUGGGACACAACUCUCCUCCUCAUUACUUUUACAACGGAGAUUCAUCAUUUCCACCAGCCUUUCCUCCCCUGGACUCCCGCUCUGCACUCUGGCUCCUCUCUUCUCCCUUCAUCCUCCCUGUUGUCAUGUUCGUCGUUCAUCAGCUCAACUCCUUCCUGGUCCCAACUUUUCCCUGCAGCUGUCUGCGUCUCCUGUGCUGAAGCCAGAUCUGAUACAGCUUCAAAGAGAAAAUCCAUAAUGAAAAAAGGCUCUCUGGACGUCUUGUACGGUCUUGACUUGUGAACAGGGAACAGCUUACUCCACAAAUGUGACCACAGACAACGUGCACCGAGCUUUCCAUCCUCUAAGACAAACCUUUAAGAGGAAGUCUGGCCACCGUGGGUCACCCUGUUGCUUCCCACAGGACUGCACCACACACAGCGCUCUCCAGCUUGCAGGUGGUUAUUUGGGAUCUCAGAUCUUGCAGAGAGGUGAAGGCAGAGAGGAAGCAGAGAGCAGGAACUCCUUUCUAAAAGGACAUCUCCCCCUAGUGGGCAAGACUUGUCAGUGCAGUUAUGUGUGAGGCCUCUGUAAUUUGGAUAAUCAAAAUGGCAUUAACACAGUUAACAUAAGUUUUUUUGUCUCGCAAGGACUUGGAUAACAGCUCUGCAUUUAGGAGAUACUUCUGUAUGUUUUGGAAAUAAAAAACAGUUUGUGACUGUUCGUUUUUGCAUGUAUGUGUGUGCAGCAAACCUGAGCCAUGUUUGGAACAACAGUGAUCAUAUCAACUGUACGUGUGUGUCUGUCUUCAUUAGGUUCAUGAAUUUACUGCAGUGUGUUAUUGCUGUUGGAGCCUCAAGCACAAGGUACUCACUUCUCUGUCCCAUGCUGUAGGACAAAACUAAUACUUUUUUCUUCUCAGUUUCGAGGCAUAACUGAACAUAUACAGACUCUAGUGUGUAGCAGGUCUUUUUUUUCCCCCAGAAAACUUUGACUUAGACGGGGCAAUUGUGACAGGACACAUAGCUGUAAGAACACAGAAAGCAGCUCACCUUGACGACAAAUUCCUGGAAUCUGAUUUCAUCCCAUUCUUAAAAAUAUAAUUAUUAAUUUAGACCCAUUACAUUUUUAGAUAUUUGAUUUAUUUUGGGGACAGUAUGGAUUUUU
Molecule: long non-coding RNA, 1681 nt
Organism: Epinephelus fuscoguttatus (brown-marbled grouper)
Lineage: Eukaryota; Metazoa; Chordata; Actinopteri; Perciformes; Serranidae
Exons: 3
Source: RefSeq, a predicted model, not a curated record